This 480-nucleotide ribosomal RNA is filed under the name uncultured bacterium. RNAcentral's name for it is "partial 16S ribosomal RNA". It matches the Rfam family "Bacterial small subunit ribosomal RNA", at positions 28 to 506 of the family's 1533-position model. The record is from RNAcentral.
GAUGAACGCUGGCGGCGUGCCUAACACAUGCAAGUCGAGCGAAGCACUUACUUUAGAUUUCUUCGGAAUGACGAAGUUUGUGACUGAGCGGCGGACGGGUGAGUAACGCGUGGGCAACCUGCCCUGUACAGGGGGAUAACAGUUAGAAAUGACUGCUAAUACCGCAUAAGCCCACAGCUUCGCAUGAAGCAGUGGGAAAAACUCCGGUGGUACAGGAUGGGCCCGCGUCUGAUUAGCUAGUUGGUAAGGUAACGGCUUACCAAGGCGACGAUCAGUAGCCGACCUGAGAGGGUGACCGGCCACAUUGGGACUGAGACACGGCCCAAACUCCUACGGGAGGCAGCAGUGGGGAAUAUUGCACAAUGGGGGAAACCCUGAUGCAGCGACGCCGCGUGAGCGAUGAAGUAUUUCGGUAUGUAAAGCUCUAUCAGCAGGGAAGAAAGGGACGGUACCUGACUAAGAAGCCCCGGCUAACUACGU